This 1458-nucleotide ribosomal RNA is filed under the name Klebsiella sp. CmNA1. RNAcentral's name for it is "bacterial SSU rRNA". It matches the Rfam family "Bacterial small subunit ribosomal RNA". Lineage: Bacteria; Pseudomonadati; Pseudomonadota; Gammaproteobacteria; Enterobacterales; Enterobacteriaceae. The record is from RNAcentral.
UUGAACGCUGGCGGCAGGCCUAACACAUGCAAGUCGAGCGGUAGCACAGAGAGCUUGCUCUCGGGUGACGAGCGGCGGACGGGUGAGUAAUGUCUGGGAAACUGCCUGAUGGAGGGGGAUAACUACUGGAAACGGUAGCUAAUACCGCAUAAUGUCGCAAGACCAAAGUGGGGGACCUUCGGGCCUCAUGCCAUCAGAUGUGCCCAGAUGGGAUUAGCUAGUAGGUGGGGUAACGGCUCACCUAGGCGACGAUCCCUAGCUGGUCUGAGAGGAUGACCAGCCACACUGGAACUGAGACACGGUCCAGACUCCUACGGGAGGCAGCAGUGGGGAAUAUUGCACAAUGGGCGCAAGCCUGAUGCAGCCAUGCCGCGUGUGUGAAGAAGGCCUUCGGGUUGUAAAGCACUUUCAGCGGGGAGGAAGGCGGUGAGGUUAAUAACCUUGGCGAUUGACGUUACCCGCAGAAGAAGCACCGGCUAACUCCGUGCCAGCAGCCGCGGUAAUACGGAGGGUGCAAGCGUUAAUCGGAAUUACUGGGCGUAAAGCGCACGCAGGCGGUCUGUCAAGUCGGAUGUGAAAUCCCCGGGCUCAACCUGGGAACUGCAUUCGAAACUGGCAGGCUAGAGUCUUGUAGAGGGGGGUAGAAUUCCAGGUGUAGCGGUGAAAUGCGUAGAGAUCUGGAGGAAUACCGGUGGCGAAGGCGGCCCCCUGGACAAAGACUGACGCUCAGGUGCGAAAGCGUGGGGAGCAAACAGGAUUAGAUACCCUGGUAGUCCACGCCGUAAACGAUGUCGAUUUGGAGGUUGUGCCCUUGAGGCGUGGCUUCCGGAGCUAACGCGUUAAAUCGACCGCCUGGGGAGUACGGCCGCAAGGUUAAAACUCAAAUGAAUUGACGGGGGCCCGCACAAGCGGUGGAGCAUGUGGUUUAAUUCGAUGCAACGCGAAGAACCUUACCUGGUCUUGACAUCCACAGAACUUUCCAGAGAUGGAUUGGUGCCUUCGGGAACUGUGAGACAGGUGCUGCAUGGCUGUCGUCAGCUCGUGUUGUGAAAUGUUGGGUUAAGUCCCGCAACGAGCGCAACCCUUAUCCUUUGUUGCCAGCGGUUAGGCCGGGAACUCAAAGGAGACUGCCAGUGAUAAACUGGAGGAAGGUGGGGAUGACGUCAAGUCAUCAUGGCCCUUACGACCAGGGCUACACACGUGCUACAAUGGCAUAUACAAAGAGAAGCGACCUCGCGAGAGCAAGCGGACCUCAUAAAGUAUGUCGUAGUCCGGAUUGGAGUCUGCAACUCGACUCCAUGAAGUCGGAAUCGCUAGUAAUCGUAGAUCAGAAUGCUACGGUGAAUACGUUCCCGGGCCUUGUACACACCGCCCGUCACACCAUGGGAGUGGGUUGCAAAAGAAGUAGGUAGCUUAACCUUCGGGAGGGCGCUUACCACUUUGUGAUUCAUGACUGGG